GAGCGGUAGCACAAGGGAGCUUGCUCCCGUGGGUGACGAGCGGCGGACGGGUGAGUAAUGUCUGGGAAACUGCCUGAUGGAGGGGGAUAACUACUGGAAACGGUAGCUAAUACCGCAUAACGUCGCAAGACCAGAGAGGGGGACCUUCGGGCCUCUUGCCAUCAGAUGUGCCCAGAUGGGAUUAGCUAGUGGGUGGGGUAAUGGCUCACCUAGGCGACGAUCCCUAGCUGGUCUGAGAGGAUGACCAGCCACACUGGAACUGAGACACGGUCCAGACUCCUACGGGAGGCAGCAGUGGGGAAUAUUGCACAAUGGGCGCAAGCCUGAUGCAGCCAUGCCGCGUGUGUGAAGAAGGCCUUCGGGUUGUAAAGCACUUUCAGCGAGGAGGAAGGUGAUGAACUUAAUACGUUCAUCAAUUGACGUUACUCGCAGAAGAAGCACCGGCUAACUCCGUGCCAGCAGCCGCGGUAAUACGGAGGGUGCAAGCGUUAAUCGGAAUUACUGGGCGUAGAGCGCACGCAGGCGGUUUGUUAAGUCAGAUGUGAAAUCCCCGGGCUCAACCUGGGAACUGCAUUUGAAACUGGCAAGCUAGAGUCACGUAGAGGGGGGUAGAAUUCCAGGUGUAGCGGUGAAAUGCGUAGAGAUCUGGAGGAAUACCGGUGGCGAAGGCGGCCCCCUGGACGAAGACUGACGCUCAGGUGCGAAAGCGUGGGAGCAAACAGGAUUAGAUACCCUGGUAGUCCACGCUGUAAACGAUGUCGAUUUGGAGGUUGUGCCCUUGAGGCGUGGCUUCCGGAGCUAACGCGUUAAAUCGACCGCCUGGGGAGUACGGCCGCAAGGUUAAAACUCAAAUGAAUUGACGGGGGCCCGCACAGGCGGUGGAGCAUGUGGUUUAAUUCG
RNAcentral lists this ribosomal RNA (900 nucleotides) under uncultured bacterium. RNAcentral's name for it is "bacterial SSU rRNA". It matches the Rfam family "Bacterial small subunit ribosomal RNA", at positions 64 to 953 of the family's 1533-position model. The record is from RNAcentral.